GUGAAUCAUCAAAUUUUUGAACGCAAAUUGCGCCUUUUUCGGAAGGCAUGUCUGUUUGAGGGCACCAUUUAACAAAUAAUGUGCAGCGUUUUUUGUUGCACACGUUGAUGAUCUUUCCAAGAAUUUUAAAUUUUUGGUGGCGCAUAAUGAACAGCGUGAAGCUUUUUUUUCAUUUCGAGUGUAUUAAAUUCUUUGCUUGUGUUUUGAAAAGCGUAAUCGCGCACUGGUUGUGGCCAUUUUUUAUUAUCCCUGCCCCAAUUCCACUCUUUCUCACGAAUGAGUGUCUAUUCUUCA
RNAcentral lists this unclassified non-coding RNA (294 nucleotides) under Paraglomus occultum. RNAcentral's name for it is "partial contains 5.8S ribosomal RNA and internal transcribed spacer 2". The stretch from base 1 to 65 matches the Rfam family "5.8S ribosomal RNA", at positions 84 to 154 of the family's 154-position model. Lineage: Eukaryota; Fungi; Glomeromycota; Glomeromycetes; Paraglomerales; Paraglomeraceae. The record is from RNAcentral.